UUUCCUGUACCAGUAUUUUUUUUCGUGUUUCUGCGCCCCCCACAGACUCCACACGCUUUCCCCCAAAUCGCCGCCGCCAUGGAGAAGGAGAAGAAGCUGUCCUUCUCCAUCCCUUCCAAGCUCAGGCCGCCCAAGCCGCCCCGCCCCGCCGCCGGCGCUGAUUCCUCCGCCGCCAGCGGCAACUCCGCUUCCGCGGCCGCUGCCCCCGCCCAGCAAUUCGUCACCGAGUUCGAUCCGUCGCAAACCCUAGCCGCCGGCGCCGCGUCCGCCGUCAUCGCGCCCCUCCCCAACUCCGGCCACUUCCUCAACCACCGCUCCCGCAAACCCUCCUCCCUCCCGACCCCCGAGGAGGAGGCCGCCCUUGCGGCCUCCACCGCCGGUGGCCCCACAUUCGUGCUCGACACCUCCGAGGCCCCCGACAACCCCUCCUCCCACAUAGGGUAUGGCCUCACCCGACGCGGCGCCGACGCCGACGCCGAGGCUGACGCCACGGAGCCGGGUAAGACGCAGUCUUCCAAGGAAUCAGAGAAGAAGCCGACCUCUCCAGCCAGAGAUGGCGGCUCCAGCGGUGACCUUAUGCUGCGACGGUACAAGGAGGACAUGGCCAGCCUCCCUGACCACCGUGGUAUAGAUGAGUUUGAGGAGGUGCCUGUGGAGGGCUUCGGUGCUGCCCUCCUUGCUGGUUACGGCUGGUCGGAAGGCAAAGGGCUCGGCCGCAAUAACAAGGAAGAUACCAAGGUUGUUGAGUAUAACCGCCGUGCCGGUACGCUGGGAUUAGGUUACGACCCUUCUGAGGCAGACCCUAAGAAGACUCGCUCCGGCGACUGGGUUAUUGGUGGAAAGAAGCCGACAGAGAAUGGUGGAAAGAAGUCCGCAGAGAAUGGAAAUGCAAAGAAGAGAGAUAUGGACAAGGAAGACAGAGUCCGGGAGAGGGAUUCAAGUUCCCGACAGAAGAGAUCUGGUGAUCUUAGGGCCGAGAGGGAGGUUCGAGAGAAAGAGAGAAAAUCUCGGGAUAGUCGAGAAGAAAAGAGUAGCCGCGAUGUUGGUAACAAAGUGCGCUGGUUACAGAGCAAUAUUAGGGUUAGAGUGGUUAAUGAGAGGUUCAGCAGAAGGUUGUACCUGCAGAAGGCAAAAAUUGUCGAUGUGGUUGGACCAACGACAUGUGACAUAAUGAUGGAUGACGGGUCAGAGCUUGUGCAGGGGGUGGAGCAGGAUAUGCUUGAAACAGUCCUGCCACGGACAAACGGCCAAGUGCUUGUGCUCUGUGGGAAGCACAAGGGGGUGUAUGGGCAUCUGGUAGAGAAGAAUUCAGAGGCAGAGACUGCAGUAGUGGAGGAUGCGGAUACAAAAGACAUGGUGCGUGUGAAAUAUGAUCAGAUUGCAGAGUACGUUGGGGACCCAGAAUUGCUUGGGCAUUGAUUAUUUCUUCUUGAGGAGGGGACAUCUGUUUUCCAGGAGCUCUUCUAAUGUGCGCCUAUCCACCUCAUCACUUGCCACAUCAGCCUAUCUAAACAUGCAGGCGUGUAACGCCAGCCACCUCUUGCGUUUGGUUUUCAGCGGUUGAUGACUUUUCUCCUAUAGUGCCUACUGCUGAAGAUCACAAUGGAAAUACAGAGCGCCUGGCAAAACAAGUUUCCAGACGACAGGCUUGGCGACCGAUAUUUACAGGUGCUCUGCUUUUAUGUAUGACAGUGACAUAUGAUGCCCUGUUUCCAGUUUGCGCAUAGCACUGUUUCAAUCAGUGUCAAUUCCUCCACAAUUUACAUACCAACCUAUUCUAUGUGAAGAGUCUUGAUCAUAUUCGGAAUGGUAGCUUCCUUCUUUGUGGUAUCAUCACUUUGUGCAUGCGAUAAUCUGAUGGCGGGGUAUGCAAAUAUCACUUUGGUCUACCAGUCAAGAUAUGAGAUGACAUGGUUCACUGAUACUCAGGUUGGGAAAUAAUUUUCUUUCCAGCAUGGUAGUUGGGAAAAGAAACUGGACUCUGUAAAUCAGGGACAUGAUACACAUUUGCUUUGGUCCCAAGCUUCAGUGUGUAAAUUACCAGUGUUGCAAAAUUGUAAACUCUUGUACCGAUGUAUAACCGGAUGGUUAGCUGAAUGGAUAUCAAUUUGAGUCACUUGGGCUCGAUUGUGUUGAAACUGCUGGAACUCAGAGAGCCUGAGAUAUCCAGAGAAUGCAAGCAGAGCACGGCGCAUGCACAGUACCUGUAUGGGCUGACAUUUCGGCGCCAUAGCCUGCCUCCUGCCGAAAGCAUUGCGGAGAUCUGUAUUUUUACUCCAUUUUUUCUGUUUUGCCAUUUCUAAAUUUAUUAAGUGAACUGGUCCUUCCACGAAAGGAAUCAUUUUGUAAAAUAGUCAUCUAUCCA
RNA transcript from Triticum aestivum (bread wheat), 2365 nucleotides. It is a transcript of the gene named protein MOS2, with no coding region annotated. Lineage: Eukaryota; Viridiplantae; Streptophyta; Magnoliopsida; Poales; Poaceae. The record is from RefSeq and is a predicted model, not a curated record. The transcript is spliced from 3 exons.